GGCAAGGACUUUGCGAGGAUCAAGGAGAAGACGUUGGACGGGAGCGUGUAGUUUAUAACGCUAAUAUCUUCUGUUUCCUUGGAAACGAUCGCAGAACGCGUUUCUUCUCGAGCAGUAACGUCCGCCAAUAUGUCUCCCCUAAAAGCGUCAGGGUGGCAACCGUCGUCUCUGUACGCUACCGAUGUGGUAACAGCUGCCGAAUCGUCGGUUGGUUCGACCGAUCCAUCCGGAGGACCGAUAACAGCAACAUUCGCCUUUUUUUCGAAACGUCCAUUGGAAUCGCAAUUGGACGUUCUCGAAAUUUAAAGCGCGCGGAGCAACUCUUGUCAUUGUAUUUUUUUCACACUUUAACGGCUCGCGACUAUGGUAAUCGAG
Molecule: unclassified non-coding RNA, 375 nt
Filed under: Bombus terrestris (buff-tailed bumblebee)
Lineage: Eukaryota; Metazoa; Arthropoda; Insecta; Hymenoptera; Apidae
Description: misc RNA ENSBTSG00005023787.1
Source: RNAcentral